UUGUGAAGUAUUAUGUGCUAACAUUUCCUACAACCGGAGUAUAUAGAACAGGUUAGUGCAUCCGUUAACCUACUCGUAAACUCAAAACGAGCUGCUAUAUUCUUUUCGCACUAUAAAUUCCCGUUUACCACUAAAGAAUUUAAACGAUCAGGCUUGAUUGCUUUGGGUAUAAAAGGCACCAAUACUCGCAAACGAUUAAACAGAAAUCGUCGAACUUCAGCGCAAAGAUGAAGGCUAUCGUUGUAUGUGGUAUACUAGUCGUCUUCGCUGUAUAUUUGUUUCAUGUGCAAGCAGGUAAAAUGGGUUUAGUGUGCAGUGUGGCCUGUAAGGCUUGGAAUGCUUGUCAAGCACAGGUUGCGUUGACUGGAGGUCUUCCAACCUGUGGACCAGAACCUUCGGGGUGCGUUUGUAAGAAGUUCCCUUGGUCAUAACUCGUAACACAAGCAAAAUAUACAAUCGUUUACCUUCACUUUGUUACUACGGCGUUCAAUUUGACUAUAAAACGGAACGGCGGAAUUCUACAGGAUCAUAAUAUCUGUGCUACAAGUAUACGUAGAUGCUAGUCGUCGUCAUUCAUUCAAAUCGUUGGAACUGCUACGCGGGCGGCACGGGUUCGAUUCCCGAUCGAUACAGAUUUUUUAAUUCUGUAUAUUAGCAUGUCUACAUUUCGCCGAUCGUUCACGUAGGAUGUGACACUGGCCCGUAGGGGCUGGUUUUCUAGUAAUAAUUUAUACUAUAAGGAUUUCAUUUUGCAACGAACCGACCUUUAUAAUUUGUAAUUUUGAAAACAAAUAAAUUGUGAAAGGGCGUUUGAUGGCUAAUUUUAUAUUGGGAUUUGGCGUUCUGGGAUUGAACAAAAAAAAAAGAAUUCGCCAACCACUCACGACGAAACUGGGUACAUUGAUUAGGGCCGCG
Photinus pyralis (common eastern firefly) is the source of this 915-nucleotide long non-coding RNA. RefSeq lists it as uncharacterized. The transcript is spliced from 3 exons. NCBI's taxonomy places the organism in Eukaryota, Metazoa, Arthropoda, Insecta, Coleoptera, Lampyridae. The record is from RefSeq and is a predicted model, not a curated record.